Molecule: long non-coding RNA, 380 nt
Filed under: Gossypium barbadense (sea-island cotton)
Lineage: Eukaryota; Viridiplantae; Streptophyta; Magnoliopsida; Malvales; Malvaceae
Description: long non-coding RNA (GBAR_LNC011247)
Source: RNAcentral
GAGAAAACCAAAAGGACAAAAUAAAAAAUCGAAAUACAAAUUUCAUUCCUUUCUCUUUGCAGUUUUUUCAUUUGUUUGUAUUUGCUGUGCGUUUGUAUGUUUUUGCAGGUACGGGGCAUGUGUACGAGGGCUGGGCACUGGCGCUGGAGGGUACGGAGACUGGGGCAAUGUAGCUGCUGAGGCGCUGGCACCGUGCGGGGUCUAGAGGCUGCAGAGGGUUGCGGCGUAAACGAGAGAGGGAUGACCUAGGGUUGCUGAAACCUUUUGGGCCAUUUGGGCUCAUUUUCAGUAUUGGGCCAUCAGAUUUGGGCUAGAGGGACUGUUUUGGGUAUUUGGGUUUGCAAUAGGACAUUAUUGGCCAUGUAAUAUUUGUUGGGUUU